UCCCUCCUGCUUCUUCCAUUGGUAAAUCACAUCAGUAGUGUGAUAGCCUAAUUUAGUUUAUGUUUCCUUUAUACAUUUGUCUUACAGGACUGAAAACGUUUUAUGAUACCAGUGAAGGCCUGGUAGUUCUGAAACUUAAAGUGUGAAAAAGCAACAAAUUCCACAUUAUUGAUAUGAGAAGUCAAUAUUUCACAGUACAUGGUCUUGCCACACGACUGCCAUUGGUAAACAAACAAACACAGCAGCAAGGAUAGUGUAGCUGCAGCAGAGUUUAACUUCUCAACUAGCAUCAUGGAAGAUGCAUGAAAGACAGAAUGGACUAAACAGAACAGGAAGGGGCACAUGGGAUGGAGAGACACUGAAGAGGUCACAGGAAGUGUGACGAAAAAUUUCCAGACAAAGGAAUAAAAUAGAA
This is a long non-coding RNA of Octopus sinensis (East Asian common octopus), 415 nucleotides long. RefSeq lists it as uncharacterized. NCBI's taxonomy places the organism in Eukaryota, Metazoa, Mollusca, Cephalopoda, Octopoda, Octopodidae. The record is from RefSeq and is a predicted model, not a curated record. The transcript has 2 exons.